Ceratitis capitata (Mediterranean fruit fly) is the source of this 896-nucleotide long non-coding RNA. RefSeq lists it as uncharacterized. NCBI's taxonomy places the organism in Eukaryota, Metazoa, Arthropoda, Insecta, Diptera, Tephritidae. The record is from RefSeq and is a predicted model, not a curated record. The transcript has 2 exons.
AAUAAUAACUUACAAGGAGCAUUUACAAAAAAUGAAAAGUACAGCAAAGUCCUGGUAGACUCGAAUUUCUCAAAAUUAACUAGUAUAAACCAGUUCCGGGACGUGCAAAAUGUUGAAUCGUGCUAUCAGCUAAUAAGUUUGAUGAAUUUGCAAGUGUCAAUAGUAAACAAAUAAUUUAAUUUAAUCAAUUAACGCUAGUAUAUCAUGAUAGAUGUGAUUGCAUAUAUGAAAAGAUAGACUGCUUAUAAAAUCAAAACAAAUUUAAGUUUUCUAAGAACUGAUUUUAAAUGCUAUCUUAAGCAUUAAAUCAACAUUUUGCUUUUUACUCAUCAAGACCAGUCAUUUCUCAGCACUCAUACAAAUAACGUCAGUUAUCACUAGGCAUUGCGCUAUGCGUACGGAUUAGGUUUUUUCCGGAUCCCCAUCGUCGAACUUGUCUGGAAGAAAAGAUGGAAUCAUAUAUUUCAUGGAAGGAUAAAUCACCGUAAUCGAAAAAUUCGAAGGGCUGUUGAAAAUGUUCAAUCGCCAACAGAAAAUAUACAAUCGCUAACAAAAAAUGUGGGAUCGUUAACAGAAAAUAUUCGAUCGUAAACGUAAAAUAUUAAAUGUUAAAAUUGAAGUGUUCUGUUAAUAUCACAGCAAGCAGCCAUUUUUAAAUUAACGUUGACGAAGAUUUUGUGCGGAUUCAUUUCAUUAAUUUUAUUUUUCAAACAAACAAAACGAAUUGGCAUCGUUUCGAUAGUUGAGCAUCUUUGGUCCAUAAACAUUCUUAUGAAUGGAAUUUCUCGGAUCACAUACUAUCACGAAGGUGUAUCGAGACAUUGUCGUAAGGGAAUCUUGUAGAUUUAUAAUAUGAAAUAAACUAUUCACAAAAUUAAAAGUGCUCUAGAGCUCAA